GUAGGGAAUAUUGGACAAUGGGCGAAAGCCUGAUCCAGCCAUGCCGCGUGAGUGAUGAAGGCCUUAGGGUUGUAAAGCUCUUUCAGUAGGGAAGAUAAUGACGGUACCUACAGAAGAAGCCCCGGCUAACUUCGUGCCAGCAGCCGAGGUAAUACGAAGGGGGCUAGCGUUGUUCGGAUUUACUGGGCGUAAAGCGCACGUAGGCGGAUUGGUCAGUUAGAGGUGAAAUCCUGGAGCUCAACUCCAGAACUGCCUUUAAUACUGCCAGUCUAGAGUCCAGAAGAGGUGAGUGGAACUCCUAGUGUAGAGGUGGAAUUCGUAGAUAUUAGGAAGAACACCAGUGGCGAAGGCGGCUCACUGGUCUGGUACUGACGCUGAGGUGCGAAAGCGUGGGGAGCAAACAGGAUUAGAUACCCCUGUAGUCC
This 425-nucleotide ribosomal RNA is filed under the name uncultured bacterium. RNAcentral's name for it is "partial 16S ribosomal RNA". It matches the Rfam family "Bacterial small subunit ribosomal RNA", at positions 354 to 796 of the family's 1533-position model. The record is from RNAcentral.